This 450-nucleotide ribosomal RNA is filed under the name uncultured bacterium. RNAcentral describes it as "partial 16S ribosomal RNA". It matches the Rfam family "Bacterial small subunit ribosomal RNA", at positions 354 to 796 of the family's 1533-position model. The record is from RNAcentral.
GUGGGGAAUAUUGGACAAUGGGCGAAAGCCUGAUCCAGCCAUGCCGCGUGUGUGAAGAAGGUCUUCGGAUUGUAAAGCACUUUAAGUUGGGAGGAAGGGUAGUAACCUAAUACGUUGCUACUUUGACGUUACCGACAGAAUAAGCACCGGCUAACUUCGUGCCAGCAGCCGCGGUAAUACGAAGGGUGCAAGCGUUAAUCGGAAUUACUGGGCGUAAAGCGCGCGUAGGUGGUUCAGUAAGUUGGAAGUGAAAUCCCCGGGCUCAACCUGGGAACUGCUUUCAACACUUCUGAGCUAGAGUACGGUAGCGGGUGGUGGAAUUUCCUGUGUAGCGGUGAAAUGCUUAGAUAUAGGAAGGAACCCCAGUGGCGAAGGCGACCACCUGGACUGAUACUGACACUGAGGUGCGAAAGCGUGGGGAGCAAACAGGAUUAGAUACCCGUGUAGUCC